GUCUAUGGCCAUACCACCCUGAACACACCUGAUCUCAUCUGAUUUUGGAAAGCUACCAGGGUCAGGCCUGGUUAGUACUUAGAUGGGAGAGGGAAAGAGAAAGAUAGAUAUCUGCAGACC
This 120-nucleotide ribosomal RNA is filed under the name Erinaceus europaeus (western European hedgehog). Lineage: Eukaryota; Metazoa; Chordata; Mammalia; Eulipotyphla; Erinaceidae. The record is from RNAcentral.